RNAcentral lists this ribosomal RNA (724 nucleotides) under uncultured fungus. RNAcentral's name for it is "SSU rRNA". It matches the Rfam family "Eukaryotic small subunit ribosomal RNA", at positions 329 to 1057 of the family's 1831-position model. Lineage: Eukaryota; Fungi. The record is from RNAcentral.
UAGGAUAGAGGCCUACCAUGGUGGUAACGGGUAACGGGGUGUUAGGGCACGACACCGGAGAGGGAGCCUGAGAAACGGCUACCACAUCCAAGGAUGGCAGCAGGCGCGCAAAUUACCCAAUCCCGACACGGGGAGGUAGUGACAAUAAAUAACAAUACGGGGUUCUUUCGGAUCUCGUAAUUGGAAUGAGUACAAUUUAAAUCUCUUAACGAGGAACAAUUGGAGGGCAAGUCUGGUGCCAGCAGCCGCGGUAAUUCCAGCUCCAAUAGCGUAUAUUAAAGUUGUUGCAGUUAAAAAGCUCGUAGUUGAAUUUCGGGGUUAGUAGGUUGGUCAUGCCUCUGGUAUGUACUGGUCUCACUGAUUCCUCCUUCCUUAUGAACCGUAAUGCCAUUAAUUUGGUGUUGCGGGGAAUUUGGACUGUUACUUUGAAAAAAUUAGAGUGUUUAAAGCAGGCUAACGCUUGAAUACAUUAGCAUGGAAUAAUGAAAUAGGACGUUCGAUCUUAUUUUGUUGGUUUCUAGGAUUGACGUAAUGAUUAAUAGGGAUAGUUGGGGGCAUUAGUAUUCAAUUGUCAGAGGUGAAAUUCUUGGAUUUAUUGAAGACUAACUACUGCGAAAGCAUUUGCCAAGGAUGUUUUCAUUAAUCAAGAACGAAAGUUAGGGGAUCGAAGACGAUCAGAUACCGUCGUAGUCUUAACCAUAAACUAUGCCGACUAGGGAUCGGA